AAGAGUGGCGGACGGGUGAAGUAACACGUGGGUAACCUACCUACAAGCGGGGAUAACAUCGGAAACGGAUGCUAAUACCGCAUAGAUCUUUUUUGUCUCCUGGCAGAAAGAAGAAAGACGGUUUCGGCUGUCACUUGUAGAUGGACCCGCGGCGCAUUAGUUAGUUGGUGAGGUAAUGGCUCACCAAGACGAUGAUGCGUAGCCGACCUGAGAGGGUGAUCGGCCACACUGGGACUGAGACACGGCCCAGACUCCUACGGGAGGCAGCAGUAGGAAUCUUCCGCAAUGGACGAAAGUCUGACGGAGCAACGCCGCGUGAGUGAAGAAGGUUUUUUCCGGAUCGUAAAACUCUGUUGUUAGAGAAGAACAAGGAUGAGAGUAACUGCUCAUCCCUUGACGGUAUCUAACCGGAAAGCCAUGGCUAACUACGUGCCAGCAGCUGC
This 443-nucleotide ribosomal RNA is filed under the name uncultured bacterium. RNAcentral's name for it is "bacterial SSU rRNA". It matches the Rfam family "Bacterial small subunit ribosomal RNA", at positions 91 to 518 of the family's 1533-position model. The record is from RNAcentral.